Populus nigra (black poplar) is the source of this 1268-nucleotide long non-coding RNA. RefSeq lists it as uncharacterized. The transcript is spliced from 2 exons. The record is from RefSeq and is a predicted model, not a curated record. NCBI's taxonomy places the organism in Eukaryota, Viridiplantae, Streptophyta, Magnoliopsida, Malpighiales, Salicaceae.
UAUUAUCAUAAAGUAGUGGAAUACAUGUCAGAGAUCAGAUGACACCCGAAGGUGACCAGAUGACACCCGAAGGUGACCAGACCAGAUGACACCCGAAGGUGACCAGAUGACACCCGAAGGUGACCAGAUGACACCCGAAGGUGACCACUGUGGGAUGAUCAGUCGCCACAGGCUGAUGCCUCUCUCACCAGCUAGGUAUACAGAAUACUAUGUGCACAUAGGCUAACUACUCUCCGUUAGCAUGGAGUUACUGACAAGUCCGAUAUCAAGGCAUAAUAGAUAUUUACAGAAUCAUCAGAGAAACGUAUAUCAUAUCAAAUAGAAUCUAGUUCGACAGAUUGCGAAUGCAAAUUCCAGAAUAAAUGAGUACUCGGAAAAUAAGCAACAUAUAUAAAUAUUCAAGAAAUUAACUAGUUGUACUCAUUGUAUAAUCAACAUACAUAUUUACUUAUCAUAUAUGCAUAUUAAAGAUUAUCCCACUCACCCGGAAAAUAUAGAACUAAAAGGAAUGUCAGAUGAAAGACCCGAAAAAUCUAUUGAGGAUCGUUAGGAGAACCUACAAUAAAUAUAUGAAAUAUACUUAAAAGCAACUCAAAGAAACACAAAUAAAAGAUUUCAAUGCAUAAAUGAAAACCAGGUUUAGUCUCCUAGGUUUAGGGACUAAAACAACAAUUAUCCAAAACAGGGAUCAAAACGUAAUUUUACCAAAACUGGACCAAACUGUAAAUACAUAACCAUACUGAAAUUUAUCCAUAAUUCAUCCUUAUCUUUGUCCAGAAUCUCGAAUUAUGCCCCAAGAGCCAAACUGUGAUUUUAUCAAAAUUUUAGGGGUCAAAUCGUAAUUUGUCAAAUUGGAGGACCAAACUGAAAAUAUCAUAUAUUCCUAAUUAUACUGGAAUUUUGCCCUUAAAUCAUCCUCAGUUCUGUUCAGAACCUCAAUUUAUGCCCCAGGAACCAAUCUGUAAUAUUUCCAAAGUUUGGGGACUAAACUGUAAUUUUCAUAAUUUGAGGGACCAAACUGAAAAUAUUCCAAAUCAAUUAUCAAACUGAGAUUCAUCAUCCUUAACCUCAUAAUAACACUGUCCAGAGUCUCAAAAUACAGUUAAGGAUCAAAUUAUAAUUUUCCCAAAGUUUAGGGACCAAACUGUAAUUUCACAAAUUGAGGGACCAAAUUGAAUUUUCGUCAUCUUCAACCUCAAACCCAGAAUUUCACAGAUUACCUACUGUCAUCACCUGAUUUCUAACACAAUUUCACCAUUCAAAUAAAA